This 998-nucleotide ribosomal RNA is filed under the name uncultured bacterium. RNAcentral's name for it is "bacterial SSU rRNA". It matches the Rfam family "Bacterial small subunit ribosomal RNA", at positions 8 to 1049 of the family's 1533-position model. The record is from RNAcentral.
AGAGUUUGAUCCUGGCUCAGGACGAACGCUGGCGGCGUGCCUAAUACAUGCAAGUCGAACGCACCCUUCGGGGUGAGUGGCGCACGGCUGAGUAACACGUGGGAAUCUGUCUUCUAGUGGGGGAUAACGUCUCGAAAGAGACGCUAAUCCCGCAUACGCUCGGCAACGAGGAAAGGCGCAAGUCGCUAGAAGAGGAGCCUGCGGCCCAUCAGGUAGUUGGAGAGGUAAUGGCUCACCAAGCCUAUGACGGGUAGCUGGUCUGUGAGGACAACCAGCCAGACUGGGACUGAGAACGGCCCAGACUCCUACGGGAGGCAGCAGUAAGGAAUUUUCGUCAAUGGGGGAAACCCUGAACGAGCAACGCCGCGUGGAGGAUGACGGUCUUCGGAUUGUAAACUCCUUUUGUGAGGGACGAUAAUGACGGUACCUCGCGAAUAAGCCCCGGCUAACUCUGUGCCAGCAGCCGCGGUAAUACAGAGGGGGCAAGCGUUGUCCGGAGUUACUGGGCGUAAAGCGCACGUAGGCGGUCCUGCAAGUGGUGUGUGAAACCAAUCAGCUUAACUGAUUGACGCCAUGCCAAACUGCAAGACUCGAGUCAUGGAGAGGUAGUUCGAAUUGCUGGUGUAGUGGUGAAAUGCGUAGAUAUCAGCAGGAAGACCAAGGGAGAAAUCAGACUACUGGCCAUGAACUGACGCUCAGGUGCGAAAGCGUGGGGAGCGAACUGGAUUAGAUACCCAGGUAGUCCACGCCGUAAACGAUGUAUGCUCGGUAUUUGGGCCUGUUAAGGGCUUGGGUACCUAAGGUAACCCGGUAAGCAUACCGCCUGGGAAGUACGAACGCAAGUUUAAAACUCAAAGGAAUUGACGGGGCCCCGCACAAGCAGCGGAGCGUGUGGUUUAAUUCGAUGCAACACGAAGAACCUUACCUGGGUUUGACAUGGACCUGCACGGCCAAGAGAUUGGUCAGCUUACGAAGGUGGUCCACAGAUGCUGCAUGGC